RNAcentral lists this long non-coding RNA (799 nucleotides) under Homo sapiens (human). RNAcentral's name for it is "HSALNT0275665". Lineage: Eukaryota; Metazoa; Chordata; Mammalia; Primates; Hominidae. The record is from RNAcentral.
CUGGUUGUCAAUGAGGAUAUUUAUUGGGGUUUCAUGAGUGCAGGGAGAAGGGCUGGAUGACUUGGGAUGGGGAGAGAGACCCCUCCCCUGGGAUCCUGCAGCUCCAGGCUCCCGUGGGUGGGGUUAGAGUUGGGAACCUAUGAACAUUCUGUAGGGGCCACUGUCUUCUCCACGGUGCUCCCUUCAUGCGUGACCUGGCAGCUGUAGCUUCUGUGGGACUUCCACUGCUCGGGCGUCAGGCUCAGGUAGCUGCUGGCCGCGUACUUGUUGUUGCUCUGUUUGGAGGGUUUGGUGGUCUCCACUCCCGCCUUGACGGGGCUGCCAUCUGCCUUCCAGGCCACUGUCACAGCUCCCGGGUAGAAGUCACUGAUCAGACACACUAGUGUGGCCUUGUUGGCUUGGAGCUCCUCAGAGGAGGGCGGGAACAGAGUGACAGUGGGGUUGGCCUUGGGCUGACCUGUGUGGACAGGGAAGGGGGUGAGAGAGGGCAGACAGAAUACCGGGGUCUGACAGUAAUAGUCAGCCUCAUCCUCAGACUGGAGGCUGGAGAUGGUGAGGUAGCGCUCAGCCCCAGAGCUGGAGCCUGAGAAGCGAUCAGGGAUCCCGUCCCCCUUGCUGUGGCUGCCAUCACUGUUAAGCUUCAUCAAGUACCGAGGGCCCUUCUCUGGCUGCUGCUGAUGCCAUGCGAUGGCGUAGCUGCUGUGCCCACUGCUCAGAGUGCAGGUGAGCUUGACCGAGGCUCCCAGGGAGGCAGAGGCAGAGGGCGAUUGAGUCAGCACAAGCUGGGAGAGAGACCCUG